UAGCGGAGGAAAAGAAACUAACAAGGAUUCCCCUAGUAACGGCGAGUGAACCGGGAAGAGCUCAAAUUUGAAAUCUGGCGUCCUCAGGGCGUCCGAGUUGUAAUCUAUAGAGGCGUUUUCCGUGCCGGACCGUGUCCAAGUUCCUUGGAACAGGAUAUCAAAGAGGGUGACAAUCCCGUACUUGACACGACGACCGGUGCUCUGUGAUACGUCUUCUACGAGUCGAGUUGUUUGGGAAUGCAGCUCAAAAUGGGUGGUGAGUUCCAUCUAAAGCUAAAUAUUGGCGAGAGACCGAUAGCGAACAAGUACCGUGAGGGAAAGAUGAAAAGCACUUUGGAAAGAGAGUUAAACAGUACGUGAAAUUGUUGAAAGGGAAACGAUUGAAGUCAGUCGUGACCGAGAGGCUCAGCCGGUUCUGCCGGUGUAUUCCCCUCGGUCGGGUCAACAUCAGUUUUGUCCGGUGGAUAAGGACGGUAGGAAGGUGGCACCCUCGGGUGUGUUAUAGCCUGCCGUCGCAUACAUCGGGUGAGACUGAGGAACGCAGCUCGCCUUUAUGGCCGGGGUUCGCCCACGUCCGAGCUUAGGAUGUUGACAUAAUGGCUUUAAACGACCCGUCUUGA
This 620-nucleotide small RNA is filed under the name Papiliotrema laurentii. Its description in RNAcentral is "eukaryotic LSU rRNA". It matches the Rfam family "Eukaryotic large subunit ribosomal RNA", at positions 48 to 657 of the family's 3401-position model. The record is from RNAcentral. Lineage: Eukaryota; Fungi; Basidiomycota; Tremellomycetes; Tremellales; Rhynchogastremaceae.